RNAcentral lists this ribosomal RNA (253 nucleotides) under uncultured bacterium. Its description in RNAcentral is "partial 16S ribosomal RNA". It matches the Rfam family "Bacterial small subunit ribosomal RNA", at positions 524 to 776 of the family's 1533-position model. The record is from RNAcentral.
UACGUAGGGGGCAAGCGUUGUCCGGAAUCAUUGGGCGUAAAGCGCGUGUAGGCGGCUUGGCAAGUCGGGUGUGAAAGCCCUGGGCUCAACCCAGGAAGUGCACUCGAAACUGCUUCGCUCGAGUAUCGGAGAGGAAAGCGGAAUUCUCGGUGUAGAGGUGAAAUUCGUAGAUAUCGAGAGGAACACCGGUGGCGAAGGCGGCUUUCUGGACGAUUACUGACGCUGAGACGCGAAAGCGUGGGGAGCAAACAGG